CCCGCUGAACUUAAGCAUAUCAAUAAGCGGAGGAAAAGAAACUAACAAGGAUUCCCCUAGUAACUGCGAGUGAAGCGGGAAAAGCUCAAAUUUAAAAUCUGGUGGCCUCUGGUCAUCCGAGUUGUAAUUUAGAGAAGUGUUUUCAGUGCAGGACCGUGUACAAGUCUCUUGGAAUGGAGCAUCAUAGAGGGUGAGAAUCCCGUCUUUGACACGGACUACCUGUGCUUUGUGAUACACUCUCAAAGAGUCGAGUUGUUUGGGAAUGCAGCUCAAAAUGGGUGGUAAAUUCCAUCUAAAGCUAAAUAUUGGCGAGAGACCGAUAGCGAACAAGUACCGUGAGGGAAAGAUGAAAAGCACUUUGGAGAGAGAGUUAAACAGUACGUGAAAUUGUUGAAAGGGAAACGCUUGGAGUCAGUCGCGUUUGUUAGAACUCAGCUUGGCUUCUGCUUAGUGUACUUUCUAAUGAACGGGCCAACAUCGAUUUCAGUCAGUGGAUAAGGGUAAGAGGAAUGUGGCACCUUCGGGUGUGUUAUAGCCUCUUAUCGUAUACAUUUACUGGGAUCGAGGUCUGCAGCACUUGUGCUUAGGAUGUUGGCAUAAUGGCUUUAAUCGACCCGUCUUGAAACACGG
RNAcentral lists this ribosomal RNA (630 nucleotides) under uncultured fungus. Its description in RNAcentral is "eukaryotic LSU rRNA". It matches the Rfam family "Eukaryotic large subunit ribosomal RNA", at positions 24 to 664 of the family's 3401-position model. Lineage: Eukaryota; Fungi. The record is from RNAcentral.